UUAUUUUAUUAAUAUUAGGUUUUAUUAUCAAAUUGGAUUAUUAUUCAUUAAUAUUAGGUUUUAUUAUCAAAUUGGAUUAUUAUUCAUUAAUAUUAGGUUUUUUUUAUUAUCAAAUUGGAUUAUUAUUCAUUAAUAUUAGGUUUUAUUAUCAAAUUGGAUUAUUCUUCAUUAAAUUGGAUUAUUAUCAAAUUGGAUUAUUAUUCAUCACCAUGUUUUAUAUUAGGAUUUUUUUUUUAUCAAAUUGGAUUAUUAUUCAUUAAUAUUAGGUUUUUUUUAAUUAUCAAAUUUGUAACAUCCCACAUCGCCCAGGGGAGUGAUCCUUAAAUGUAUAUUCUCAUCCCUACCUAGCACGAGGCCUUUUGGGAGCUCACUGGCUUCGGGUUCCGUCGGAACUCCGAAGUUAAGCGAGAAGGGGGCUAGAGCACUCCCAUGAUGGGUGACCCACUGGGAAGUUGCUCGUGAGUUCCCAGAAACAAAACCGUGAGGGCGUGGUCGGGGCCCAAAGCGGACAAUAUCGUGUUACGGUGGUGGAGCGGGCCCGGGAAGUGAUCUGCCCCGGGCCGGGAUGUGACAAAUUGGUAUCAGAGCCUAACCCUGGCCGUGGUGUGCCGACGAGGACGUCGAGCCCCUAAGGGGGGUGGAUUGUAACAUCCCACAUCGCCCAGGGGAGUGAUCCUUAAAUGUAUAUUCUCAUCCCUACCUAGCACGAGGCCUUUUGGGAGCUCACUGGCUUCGGGUUCCGUCGGAACUCCGAAGUUAAGCGAGAAGGGGGCUAGAGCACUCCCAUGAUGGGUGACCCACUGGGAAGUUGCUCGUGAGUUCCCAGAAACAAAACCGUGAGGGCGUGGUCGGGGCCCAAAGCGGACAAUAUCGUGCUACGGUGGUGGAGCGGGCCCGGGAAGUGAUCCGCCCCGGGCCGGGAUGUGACAAAAUUGGAUUAUUAUUCAUUAAUAUUGGGUUUUAUUAUCAAAUUGGAUUAUUCAUUAAAUUGGAUUAUUAUCAAAUUGGAUUAUUAUUCAUCACCAUGUUUUGUCACAGCCCGUCCCGAGAUUUUCAUAUCGGGGACGUGAAUUGACGGAUUUACCCUUGACGUUACUAAGGUAUGUGUGUGUAACGUUAUUUGGUUUAAAUUAUUAUAAGUUUUGGGGAUAGAGAAAAUUGGGUUACAUUUUGUUUGUAUGGUUAGGAUGAAAAUGGAUGGUGUGGAUUAGAUUGGACCACACACAGGACCUCUCUCCCUUUCUCCUUCCCCGUGUCUUCUCUGUCUCUCUCCCUCACGACCCUCUAUCACUCUCUCUCACCCAAAACGUACGGCCUCACCCAAAACCACCCAAAAACGCAGUGGAUCGAAGCAACCAAGGUAAGAAUCUUCAUCCUUGAGAUGUUUUGAGUUGAUUGGUACUAGUUUUAGGAAGUGAAACCCUCGGAAUCACGUGAAACCCGAACCUCCAUUUUUGGUCACUGUUCAUGCAAACGUAAAAUGCUGAUUUUCAGGAAAUUCUAAGCUUGUAGUGAGCUUAGUGAGGUCCCAAGGAAGCUCGGAGUGCUUCGUUUGAAGGUUUUGGACGUCAGGAUCACGUGGUUCAACUUUGGCCGGUUUUGCUUGAAUUGUUCCGGUGAGAUUUAGUUGUUUUUGAAGCUUAAAAGUAGUUUAUCGUGAUUCUACAUGUUUGGGGCUUCAAUUUGGUAUAAAAUACGAAGAAAAUGGUUGAGAAACGAAGGAGAACAAGGAGUUCAAAGUUUGGCCGGAAACCGGCCGCCGGAAAAACCAGUCCGGCGAGUCGAGGUUGAAGAUGGUGCGCGUGGGGGCGCGUGUCCCCGUGCCUGUCAUGGCGUGUGGGGGCGCGUGGGACCGCCAAAAUUUUUUCUAAAAAUUACUCGACGUCCGUGACGUCGAGUAGGUCGAUGUGGUAUAUUCAUAUACCCAAAUUGAGCAUCGUAUGAAAAGUUAUUUCGAAUUAUUGGUUAUGUGUUUAAAUUAACGUUUUUAUAGUUGUUUCGCAUAUAGGUGAAACUUAUCCCGAGGACGAGCGCAUCCAGGGAUGUCACGGGGGUUACGACCCAUCGACUUAUCAGUGAGUGGGCAGUUUUGUUUUCGUAUUACCUAUAUACAACUGUUUUUCCCAGAAAAUACGUUUUUAUGAAAGUUAUGAAUUAAAUUGCCAUGCAUGCAAUUGUUGAGAUAAUUAGUUUGAUAAUUGAUGCAUAUAUAUAUGUUAAUUGACGCAGUGAACGCACAAGUGAGUUUUUAUAUCAUUCAGAUGAGUUAUUUUAUAUGAAUUGCAUUGAAAGCUCAGAACCUGCACCUAGGUGUUAGUGCUUAUAUUGUUAUUCACCACACCGCACGCUCGUCUUGGAUCCAAGUAGGUGGAUGUCGUACAGACCAUGUGAGGGUUCCGACAUGCUAGUCGUAUAGAUCACUAGAUGUGAUUCCGACUAGUGGGUGACCUUAGUUAUGCGCCCUGAUGAUUGAUGAGAGAAGCACUAGAGCGUAUUUAUACACCUUUCAUCGUACAGACUACUUUACGUAGUUCCGAGUGAUGUGCAGUGUAGUGCCGUACAGGUAAUAGUUGGUGACUACGGCAGGGCCGUAUAGGUCACUGUGGUGACUCCGGCUGAGUGGGAUGUUGAGCUUUAGAAUCAGCCGUACAUGACUAUUGUAGGGUCUCCGGUUGAUUUAUUAUUUCACCUGAUUGAUAUUGAUGCAUUUCUGAUUAUAUUUGGCAUGGCGUGGCACAUUAUUUCUGAGAUGUUAUGUUGAUGGAUAUGAGCUGAGUUUUGAUGAUAUAUGUAUAUAUACUAUUUUUCUGGGAAAGUAUACAGGUUUUACGGUGAGGGGUUAGAAAUGUUUUAAAUGAAAUGUUUUGGAAAAUCUUUGAUUUUACUGACCCACUCAUCUUUGUUUUGCGCCCCUCCAGGUUCUAGUUAGCGGUUGGUGGCUCUCGGGGUCUUUUUCGGCAUUCUGACAAACGUUCUGCAUGUAGGACUCACCUGCGGGUGAUGUAUUUUAUUUUGGUCCUACUUGACUGCACUUAGACCUAUGCUCUGAAUUUAUGUGGUUACCUUAUAACUUAUCCUUUUACACUAGUAGGUGGUUCUACUAGAGAUUGGUUUAAAUUCCUUCGUAUUCUGUUAUAUCUUGCUUCCGUGGCACUCUUGGUUACGUCACACUCACGUGACGCCCAGCACGCCUUGACCCUCUGGGUCGGGGUGUGUCAUGUUUUAUAUUAGGAUUAUUUUUUUUAUCAAAUUGGAUUAUUAUUCAUUAAUAUUAGGUUUUUUUAAUUAUCAAAUUGGAUUAUUAUUCAUUAAUAUUGGGUUUUAUUAUCAAAUUGGAUUAUUCUUCAUUAAAUUGGAUUAUUCAUUAAAUUGGAUUAUUAUCAAAUUGGAUUAUUAUCAAAUUGGAUUAUUCAUUAAAUUGGAUUAUUCAUUAAAUUGGAUUAUUAUCAAAUUGGAUUAUUAUUCAUCACCAUGUUUUAUAUUAGGAUUAUUUUUUUUAUCAAAUUGGAUUAUUAUUCAUUAAUAUUAGGUUUUAAUAUUCCAUAUUAUUUGUAUAAUUACUUAAAUUUUUACAAUCAUUUUCUUUACUUCGUAUUUAAUUCUUCUGUAGAAUACUUUAUUAUUUAGGUUCUCUUAUUUUAUAAAAAAAUAAUUGUCUAAUUUUCAUGAAAAAUAAAUAUAGGUACGUUUAAGAUGUCCAGUG
RNAcentral lists this long non-coding RNA (3703 nucleotides) under Malus domestica (apple). Lineage: Eukaryota; Viridiplantae; Streptophyta; Magnoliopsida; Rosales; Rosaceae. The record is from RNAcentral.